This 491-nucleotide ribosomal RNA is filed under the name uncultured bacterium. RNAcentral describes it as "partial 16S ribosomal RNA". It matches the Rfam family "Bacterial small subunit ribosomal RNA", at positions 29 to 506 of the family's 1533-position model. The record is from RNAcentral.
AGUGAACGCUGGCGGUAGGCCUAACACAUGCAAGUCGAACGGCAGCACAGUAAGAGCUUGCUCUUACGGGUGGCGAGUGGCGGACGGGUGAGGAAUACAUCGGAAUCUACUUUUUCGUGGGGGAUAACGUAGGGAAACUUACGCUAAUACCGCAUACGACCUACGGGUGAAAGCAGGGGAUCUUCGGACCUUGCGCGAUUGAAUGAGCCGAUGUCGGAUUAGCUAGUUGGCGGGGUAAAGGCCCACCAAGGCGACGAUCCGUAGCUGGUCUGAGAGGAUGAUCAGCCACACUUGAUCUGAGACACGGUCCAGAUGCCUACGGGAGGCAGCAGUGGGGAAUAUUGGACAAUGGGCGCAAGCCUGAUCCAGCCAUACCGCGUGGGUGAAGAAGGCCUUCGGGUUGUAAAGCCCUUUUGUUGUGAAAGAAAAGCAGCAGGUUAAUACCCCGCUGUUCUGACGGUACCCAAAGAAUAAGCACCGGCUAACUUCGU